RNAcentral lists this ribosomal RNA (465 nucleotides) under uncultured bacterium. RNAcentral's name for it is "partial 16S ribosomal RNA". It matches the Rfam family "Bacterial small subunit ribosomal RNA", at positions 28 to 507 of the family's 1533-position model. The record is from RNAcentral.
GACGAACGCUGGCGGCGUGCUUAACACAUGCAAGUCGAACGGAAAGGCCGUAUUGGGGUUCCUCGAGUGGCGGACGGGUGCGUAAGACGUGAGUAACCAGCCCUAGACUUCGGGUUAACUGCAGGAAAGUGGGGCUACUAACGCAUAGAAAUCAUUGGAGCUUGGGGGGGGUUGGAAAGAUCCGGGGGUUUUGGGCGAGUUGGCGGGUUAUUGGCGUGUUGGUGGGGUAGUGGGUUACAAAGGCGCUGAGGGGUAGCCGGCCAGAGGGGGCGACCGGCGACACUGAGACCGAGGGACGGCCCAGACGCCUACGGGUGGCAGCAGUGGGGAAUAUUGCACCAUGGGCGGCAGCCGGAUGCAGAAGCGCCGCGGGCGGGAUGACGGCUUUCGUGUGGUAAACCGCUUUCAGCAGGGGCGAAGCUUGUGGUGACGGUACCUGAAGAAGAAGCACCGGCUAACUACGUG